This 498-nucleotide ribosomal RNA is filed under the name uncultured Pseudomonadota bacterium. RNAcentral's name for it is "bacterial SSU rRNA". It matches the Rfam family "Bacterial small subunit ribosomal RNA", at positions 355 to 846 of the family's 1533-position model. The record is from RNAcentral. Lineage: Bacteria; Pseudomonadati; Pseudomonadota.
UGGGGAAUAUUGCGCAAUGGGGGCAACCCUGACGCAGCCAUGCCGCGUGUGUGAAGAAGGCCUUCGGGUUGUAAAGCACUUUAAGUGGGGAAGAAAAGUUGGUCGUUAAUAGCGGCCAGCCCUGACAUUACCCACAGAAUAAGCACCGGCUAACUCCGUGCCAGCAGCCGCGGUAAUACGGAGGGUGCGAGCGUUAAUCGGAAUUACUGGGCGUAAAGCGCGCGUAGGCGGUUUGUUAAGUCAGCUGUGAAAGCCCCGGGCUCAACCUGGGAACUGCAGUUGAUACUGGCCGACUGGAGUGCGAGAGAGGGAGUAGAAUUCCAUGUGUAGCGGUGAAAUGCGUAGAUAUAUGGAGGAAUACCGGUGGCGAAGGCGGCCUCCUGGCUCGACACUGACGCUGAGGUGCGAAAGCGUGGGGAUCAAACAGGAUUAGAUACCCUGGUAGUCCACGCCGUAAACGAUGUCUACUAGCCGUUGGGAGACUUGAUUUCUUAGUGG